RNAcentral lists this ribosomal RNA (207 nucleotides) under uncultured bacterium. Its description in RNAcentral is "partial 16S ribosomal RNA". It matches the Rfam family "Bacterial small subunit ribosomal RNA", at positions 568 to 774 of the family's 1533-position model. The record is from RNAcentral.
UGCGUAGGCGGGCUACUAAGUCUGGGGUGAAAUCUUGCCGCUUAACGGUAAAAUGGCCCUGGAUACUGGUAGUCUUGAGUGUAGAAGAGGCAGGUGGAAUUCGUAGUGUAGCGGUGAAAUGCAUAGAUAUUACGAAGAACAUCAGUGGCGAAGGCGGCCUGCUGGUCUACAACUGACGCUGAGGCACGAAAGCGUGGGGAGCGAACA